UACGAGUGCCUCAAGCGUUAUCCGGAAUCAUUGGGCGUAAAGGGUGCGUAGGUGGUCGUGUUAGUCUUUUGUUAAAUUCUUCGGCUUAACCGGGGGCAUGCAAAAGAUACGGCACGACUCGAGGAUGCGAGGGGUCUCUGGAACUCUAGGUGUAGCGGUGAAAUGCGUUGAUAUCUAGGGGAACACCAAAAGCGAAGGCAAGAGACUGGAGCAUUCCUGACACUGAAGCACGAAAGCGUGGGUAGCGAAUGGG
This 253-nucleotide ribosomal RNA is filed under the name uncultured bacterium. RNAcentral describes it as "partial 16S ribosomal RNA". It matches the Rfam family "Bacterial small subunit ribosomal RNA", at positions 524 to 776 of the family's 1533-position model. The record is from RNAcentral.